CAGCAACAGACUCUGGUAGUGAGUCAU
Molecule: unclassified non-coding RNA, 27 nt
Filed under: Mus musculus (house mouse)
Lineage: Eukaryota; Metazoa; Chordata; Mammalia; Rodentia; Muridae
Description: oocyte_clustered_small_RNA2236
Source: RNAcentral